UACGGGGGGAGCAAGCGUUGUUCGGAUUUACUGGGCGGAAAGGGCGCGUAGGCGGUCAGCACAAGUCAGUUGUGAAAUCUCCGGGCUUAACUCGGAAAGGUCAACUGAUACUGUGCGACUAGAGUGCAGAAGGGGCAACUGGAAUUCUCGGUGUAGCGGUGAAAUGCGUAGAGAUGUGGAGGAACACCAGUGGCGAAGGCGACUCUUUGGCCUGUAACUGACGCUGAGGCGCGAAAGCGUGGGGAGCGAACAGG
RNAcentral lists this ribosomal RNA (254 nucleotides) under uncultured bacterium. Its description in RNAcentral is "partial 16S ribosomal RNA". It matches the Rfam family "Bacterial small subunit ribosomal RNA", at positions 524 to 776 of the family's 1533-position model. The record is from RNAcentral.